Molecule: long non-coding RNA, 232 nt
Filed under: Lathyrus oleraceus (garden pea)
Lineage: Eukaryota; Viridiplantae; Streptophyta; Magnoliopsida; Fabales; Fabaceae
Description: Pisum sativum (pea) long non-coding RNA (PSAT_LNC003981)
Source: RNAcentral
GAAUCCUUUAAUUUUUUAAAACAAGUUAAAUUUGUCAUUUCCAUUAAUUUACCUGAAACAAUGUCAAUUUUUAAAACAUAUCAUCCUAGUCAGCUUCUUGUGGCAUCCUGGUCCGUGUCAAUUCUUAUUACAGAAAUGAUAUUUCUACGUUAUCCUCUUACAUCUACACCAUAAACAAUACUUCUCUAAUUUUUUAUCAUUAAAUUCUCUCUCUUAUUAAACCUACAUGUAU